CUUGAAACCCAAAGGACUUGACGGUGCCCCACCCCCCCUAGAGGAGCCUGUUCUAUAAUCGAUAAUCCCCGCUACACCUCACCACUACUUGUAUUUUCAGCCUGUAUACCGCCGUCGUAAGCUUACCAUGUGAACGCCCCCACAGUAAGCCUAAUGGGACCCCCCCCCCCCCCCCCCCCCCACGUCAGGUCAAGGUGCAGCCCACGUAGUGGGGGUAAUGGGCUACAAUUUCUAUCCUAGAACAUAGAAAGGUUGCAUGAAAUAACAACCACGAAGGCGGAUUUAGUAGUAAGAGGAGAACCCCCCCCCAUACCUAAUCCAAUAUCGCACCCUAGAAGAGGCAAGUCGUAACAUGGUAAGCGUACUGGAAAGUGUGCUUGGAAUAA
RNAcentral lists this ribosomal RNA (386 nucleotides) under Liurana alpina (Alpine papilla-tongued frog). Its description in RNAcentral is "partial 12S ribosomal RNA". Lineage: Eukaryota; Metazoa; Chordata; Amphibia; Anura; Ceratobatrachidae. The record is from RNAcentral.